Long non-coding RNA from Armigeres subalbatus, 3189 nucleotides. RefSeq lists it as uncharacterized. The transcript has 3 exons. The record is from RefSeq and is a predicted model, not a curated record. Lineage: Eukaryota; Metazoa; Arthropoda; Insecta; Diptera; Culicidae.
UCAGUUAAAUUAUUUACCGAACAGUUCUGAUGUUGAGAUUUCGGUAAAUAAUUUUACCGAAUUCGGCGAUUUAUUUUAAGUGUGUACAUUUAGCAAAUUUUGGAAUCACUCAUCUUUUUGACAGCUCCAUAUUGCUUCCGAAAAUAGGUGAUUUUAAAACAUUAAAUCAAGCAUAAUUUUUCAUAACGACGUAUGUAACAAUUAUGAGGAUUCGAGAAAUCCUUUUCAGAAAGUUGGCAAAACUUUUUCUAAAACUGUUUUAAAACUAAAUCUUUUUUCAAUACUUUUUUCCGCUGGCAUGCAUCAUUACAUGACACGUAACAAGUGUGCUUCAUAUCAUAGCUCAGUUCAUUCAAGUUCACUGUGAAAAACGAUAAAAUUAUACAUACACCGGUAUGGUGCACAUACGUCGGUGUACAUUGGUCGGUUUUCCAUACACUGCCAAAAAUAUCUGUAUAAGAUAUAUGUGUCGCCGUUAUAAAUUUUUGCAAUAGCUCCACCCUAAUAUAAUCGAUAUACACUCAGCAAACUGGACUAUCGAAAUUCAUAACUGGCGCCUUAUGAACCUUCGACUGAUUACUCCACUAACAGUGCUAUUUAUACGCAGUUACCUCCCCGAGUAAUCAAGCGUCGAUGGACGUGUGGUCUACGUACCGGCCUCCCGACCCCGACGUCCAUGGUUUGAACCCAGUCUGCCGCACUUCACUUUUUUUCAAAUGAAAAUCAUCGUUCAUAAGGCAGCAUAUUGAAAUUCAUACCGAUUCCUUGUGGCAAAUUUUCAUAAGGCGUAUGAUUAAAAAUCAUACGUCCAUUUUCCUCAAUGUAGAACCACACAUAAAUUAAAUAAUUGCUAAUUCGAGACCAUACAUAAAAUUUAUUUGGAUAUAUAUUUUAUUAGUAGUUCGCGUGGAGAAUGGUUAUGUGUGCGCUGAUAUACAUCAUAAGUUAAAUCUAUGGAUUUUUGCCAAUAAAUAUGUGUGGAUUUUUAGUAGUGUAAUGCACAAUUGACGCAACUGCAGUUUUGUUUUGAUUUGCUUUUUUGUCACAUAGGUCGCUCUUAGUUCCCAUAUGUUACAGCGACGUAUGUAACAGUAAGACUUCAAAAAUAGAAAUUUUGACAUACGUCGAUUCGUAAAAAGAUUGAAUUAAAGAAUUUUAAGAUCUAAAAUCAGUAAAAUCGAUGCGUAUUAUAUAAAGCCGUGUGUGAUUGUCAUGUUGUAUUAAAAACUUUGUUUUGUUUUCUUUUGUUACAUACGUCCUUAUGAAAAAUUAUGCUUGAAAUGUGUAUAAGGCAUUUUAUGAGACGUUUGCGGUGGGCCGAUUAUUUACUUCUAGUGUUUUGUUUUGGUACGAUUCUGCGUGAACAUUCUGUUAGGUCCGAACACAAAAUAAUGUUUGUAACGUUUUACUUUUCAUUCAUGUUUUCUUCAGCAUCAAAUGCUUAGAAUGCAAUGGUAUGCAUAAUCUAACGACACGUUUUAAGAAUCAUAUGAAAAACUUUGUUCUAAAACCCUGGUAGACGAGAAGUAAAACAGGCAGAAUUGAUGAUGGGACUCAUCGGAAUGUUCAGCGCUAAAUUACCAAACAAACGGGCUCCCACAAAUAGUCAAAGUAGAUAAACACGAGAAAAACAGCUGUUCCGAUCUGUCUCAUAAAAUGCCUUAUUCCAAAUCUCCGUAAUUUGUAACGCAAUAUUGUGUACCCACCCACCCCUUUAUGCGUUAUGUAAUUUGUGAAUGAGUCCUUAUGUUCUCCUAACCCAGAAAACAAUCUGUGCGACGUUAGACACUAAUUAGGGGAUGUUAGUUAUGUUGCAGUGCAAACAUGUCCAUGUUUAUGAUUAUAUGUUGCAAUGCACGUUUUCUUCUUCAACGUUUUGACAGUUUAUGAAAAAAAAGAACAUUGUUGCUAUUUCGGUAGGUCAGUUGCAGCCAAAUCGAAGUCUUUUCAAAGGAUUUUCCUGUAAAUAUCCAAACUGAGUCUAUUCAACUUUGAUCAAUUAUAUCAAUAAACUCAAAGGAAUUGUUGGAACAGGAGCCGUUCUAUGCUACAGAAUGUAAUUAACGAGAAGAUGAAAAACGGAAAUUCCAUCGACGGAUUUUGAAAACACCGCUUGACCGAAAAAUACUUCCAGCCGAAUUCUCAUUUCUUCCGAUCACAGAGGAAAGGUUGCAGGAAUAAACGAUCCGCUUAUCAAAUGCUGGUGCCACCAAAACUGAAACUGAAGCUUCCGGCUGAGUGCGGUAUGCCACGAACUUUGUUUGUUUUAAUUCGCUCAACAAUGCUGGUGCCGAUCUGCUAAACCGGAUCAUUAUUAGGAAAACAGCUGUAAUCCCCUGCAGACAAAAUAUCAAACCGAGCGCACACCGUGAAAGAGAAUCAGAAGAUGGAAAAAAGGAAACACCAUCGACGGAUUUUGAAAACGCGGCUUGAGCAAAGAUACCUGCAACGGAAUUCUCCUUUCGUCCGAUGGCACCGGAAAGGUCACAAGUACCAGCCACAAACGAUCAGCUUGUCAAUUGCGGAUGCCACUGAAUAGAAAUUGAAACUUCCGGCUAUGUACGAUAGCUACAAAUUUUGUUUAUCAUGUAAGUUCACUCUGCAUAUGAACAUACACGGUUUUUACGUUGAAUUUUAUCCCAAGUAUCGGUCGGUGCCGAUCUGCUUCGUGGUAUUCUGAGCUGUACAAACAGCUGUAAUAUCUACAGCUACCAGCAGACAAAAACCAAUAUGAGCGCGUACUGUGAAAAAGAAAGCAUGUACCUAGCAGCAAACAAAUGAUCCAAUCGUACAUUUCUAAAAAUAAUGAGCAGCAGGAUUCGAUUUUAUUUUGUCUCAAGGACUUGUGCACCACCACAUCUCAUUGAAAAUGUACAUAGAAACACGAAUUAUAAAUAAAUUGAACUAUUCUUCAGUUAUUUAGAUUUACAUCUAGUUGUUAUUCGGUGCAAAAGUGUACUUUGUUGGUUUUAAAUAUUUUUCGAGCCAAUAAAUUCACUUUUUGCUCGUGUGACAGCUGGAUGUAAAUAAAUCAGCAUAAAAGCCCUUUUGAAACAACCCUAACAAUACCCUAACCGCCCACUACGAAACAUAACUAACUUCACUCUAAAGUUAGACUAACAUGUUAGAUCAAAUCAUGCAAUAAACAUAAACAUACCUAACAAAAGUGUUGCAGAUCUGUCUAAUUUU